GUUGGCCUCGGAUCAGGUGGGGAUACCCGCUGAACUUAAGCAUAUCAAUAAGCGGAGGAAAAGAAACCAACAGGGAUUGCCUCAGUAACGGCGAGUGAAGCGGCAACAGCUCAAAUUUGAAAUCUGGCGCAAGCCCGAGUUGUAAUUUGCAGAGGAUGUUUCGGGUGAGGCCGCGGUCCAAGUCCCUUGGAACAGGACGUCAUAGAGGGUGAGAACCCCGUACCUGGCCGCCGGCUGCCCCCGCUGUGAAACUCCUUCGACGAGUCGAGUUGUUUGGGAAUGCAGCUCUAAAUUGGUGGUAAAUUCCAUCUAAAGCUAAAUACCGGCCAGAGACCGAUAGCGCACAAGUAGAGUGAUCGAAAGAUGAAAAGCACUUUGAAAAGAGAGUUAAAAAGUACGUGAAAUUGUUGAAAGGGAAGCGCUUGCGGCCAGACUUGCCCGCGGUUGCUCAGCCCGCCCUCUGGCGGGUGCACUCUUCCGCGGUCAGGCCAGCAUCGGUUUGGGCGGUCGGACAAAGGCGCCGGGAACGUGGCCUCCCCUCGGGGAGGUGUUAUAGCCCGGUGCGCAAUGCGGCCAGCCCGGACCGAGGUUCGCGCUCUGCUAGGAUGCUGGCGUAAUGGCCGUAAGCGGCCCGUCUUGAAACACGGACCAAGGAGUCUAACAUCUAUGCGAGUGUUUGGGUGUCAAACCCGUGCGCGUAAUGAAAGUGAACGGAGGUGGGAACCGCAAGGUGCACCAUCGACCGAUCCCGAUGUCUUCGGAAGGAUUUGAGUAAGAGCAUAGCUGUUGGGACCCGAAAGAUGGUGAACUAUGCGUGAAUAGGGUGAAGCCAGAGGAAACUCUGGUGGAGGCUCGCAGCGGUUCUGACGUGCAAAUCGAUCGUCAAAUUUGCGUAUAGGGGCGAAAGACUAAUCGAACCAUUUAGUAGCUGGUUCCUG
This 938-nucleotide ribosomal RNA is filed under the name Venturia carpophila. Its description in RNAcentral is "eukaryotic LSU rRNA". It matches the Rfam family "Eukaryotic large subunit ribosomal RNA", at positions 1 to 960 of the family's 3401-position model. The record is from RNAcentral. Lineage: Eukaryota; Fungi; Ascomycota; Dothideomycetes; Venturiales; Venturiaceae.